AUAAGGGAAAUAUCUUACUGCUAAUUAUGCUUAUUAUCAUUAUCAUUGCAUUAAUUAACUUUGCAUUAAAGUCAUGAUCAUUGCAUUAAACCAUAUAAUAAUCACUUCAUUGAAGCAGUUAUUGAAGCUGCUGACAUUACAUUAAAGUCUGUAUUACAGGUGUUAUCAUAAUCACAUAAUAAUCUCUCAUUGCAGGCGCAACUGUAAUCAUGCUAUACACAUUGCAAUUUGGUGCUUAUUAAAGAGUUGUGGCUCAGUCAAUUAAUCAGAAGGUUGAAAGCUCCGUUGGGUGUGAAUGUCCCGGCGAAACAUGGAGUAAGUGGCUUGGAGCUAUGGAAGGUUCAAUGCAUGCACGCCUACAAAACACAUAUAAUACAUUUAAUCAAGAAACAGGCUGGAGUGAAGGCCUGAAUGUAUUCAGCUUCUUGUUGCAGUUGAGUUUGCCCAGAUACAGGUGACAGAAGAGGUGGCCAGAUGACUGCCAUCCCCAAGGACCAUCUGGAGGAUGCAGCGAGUGGCCUUAUAUGGAAAAUGUGAUAGAGACAGGAACUUCUAUGUCUAUUUUAGCUUAUGAAAAUGAAUAUUUACUGUAUCUGAUAUAUCACAAUCUUUGUAAACGCAUAAGGGGGCGUCAACCCUGAUGAAUCAAAAGCAAUCUGAAGUGUCUUUUUGGGUGGAGUCCUACAACUGAUGUUUGGCAGUUCGUACCUCCCCGCAUGUGUAUUCAAUAAACUCUUCCGUUUGAUUGCAUCCUUCUGGGCCUUUGGUAUUUUGUUUUGGAUCUCAGUAUUUCGAAUCGGGACAGUUUUGGUGCCGUGACCCGGAUAUCUGAGUCCAUUGACUUGGUUCUGAGGUUCUGGUGGAGAAAAACAGAGGCCAGAGGUGGUCAAACAGGCAGACGGGACCCAGUGGUUCGGCUGAGUGUUCAGGGCCCUGACAAAAAAGGUAGGCACAGCCUGUUAAAUCAAAAUGUGCUGAUUGAAAUAUUAUAUUCUAAAUUUACUCAGCUAAAUUACUGAUGGAUGUCUGUUUGAGUAAUUGUUGAGAAAUUGAAGCUUCAUAAGAUGUUGAAAAGGUCAAGCUUGAUGUUCUUAUGAUAAAAGUGAGAAAGACAAUAAGGUGUCUUUAGAAUAUUGAAGGUGAAAUAAGUUAAUAUAUUGAAGGUGAAAUAACUUUAAAGUUCAGGGGUGGAGACCCCCCCUCUAUCGGAGACGUCCUUUAGAGCCCGCUAAGGUUGCGGUCACUCCAGAUUGACCAUCUGCCGACGACUUGGGACCGCGGUAUUAAAAUUGGUUAUGAUCAGAGGAUCAUGUUGGUAUAAAGUUAUUGUUUCAUAGAGAAAGUAAUCUUGGACAUAGAGGUCCGACAAACAAACCUUGGGUUGUGCAAGGUUUUCUCAUGUGAGGCAGAAUUUCAGGAAGCCAAGUGUUUGAUAGGUUUUCUGAGAAAGUAAUGUUGAGAAGAAUAAAUGUUGACAUUACUGAGUUAAUGUUGAUAAAGGUCAGUGGAUCUGCUGUGGUCCUGUAAAGAAACAUUGCUGGUUGUGAGAAGUAUUGAGUGAAUAUUUCUGAGUCUACUCUGAGUCAGUGCAGGCGUCAAGGUUGACUGAUUUGACACUGAAUGUUGCGUGUAUCACUCCCUGGCAGAUACCCAGGUUUUGAAAUAGUGUCGGAUCCCAUGAUUUUCAGGUGAUGAAUUGCCUGACAAUAGGAGUCAGAAAAGGACUUUUUGAUGCUAUAUUUUGUGUGAUUUGAGAAAGAUUGUGUUCGAUCUGUGUUCGAAUAGACACACACACACACACAUUCAUUGCAGCUGUUGGGUGUGAACAACUUCCUCUUUUAAAUUUAAACUGCGACACAUGUGUUCAUUGAACUAGAACUUCAGCAGUGAAUGAGACAGGAUUUAGAAUUUCAGAAAAUAGAGUCAGAAACGGUUUUGUGGCUCUUGGUAAACUGACUUUGAAGGAAAAAUCAGUGUUUAUUGUGCUGGAGUAACAGAUCCGGCGUGGUCUGAAGUGUAGAAUCAGCUGGGUGUACAGCGUUGUUGAUAUUAACAGAUCCGGCAUGGUCUGAAGUUUGGUGGAUCCGCUGAGGUCCAGAAGAAUAGUCAGUGCGGACUGCGUUGGUUUGAAAUCUUGAUAAAUGAUCCAGGAAGAAUUGCCCUGGGUCUCUGUGUGUGUGAGCUGUUGAGUAACAGCCUACGCAGUUAGAAUUGGGUGCUGGUUACUUCCUCUUUUCAGUUUCGAAAAAGAAGAGUUUUGGUUUCACUUUAAAGUUUGAUUACGUAUUACUGGGUGAAACACGGUUUCACUUGUGAUUAAGGAAAUAAUAUGCUUACUUUUGGGUCUAUGAAAAUUGAAUAACAGUGGGUGAUCUCUGUGACAACAUACAGUGUUGAGAUACUGGAUGUUGAAUUGAAGAUAGUGGAUCUUGACGUUUUGUUUUUAUUGAUUUUAAAACCAGCAGAGAGUUUAUAUUUGCUCAGUCUUUUGACUGCCUGAGCUGACUUCCUCUUUCUCAGUGAACAGCUGUGUGCAGCUGAAUUAAAGGACUGAGAGAACAGAGGGAGUGAUUUUCAAGCUUUGUGCGUGUUUACACCAAAAGUGGCUGGUUUGGUGCAUUCAUGAGGUGAAUGCAAGAUUAACAUUGUUGAGCUGAUAAUUGUGGUGGGCUUGGUGCAUACUUCAGGUGAAUCCAGUAUUGACAUUGCUGGGUUGACUAUUGUGUUUCACCCCUAGAGUGAAAACAGAAACUGAAGCAGCUGAAUGAAGACACACUGGGCCAGUAAGUGAACAGGAAGACCAGUGCAGAGAUGAAAACAUUGAAAGAGAACCACAGUGAGUGUUGCAAAUGGAUGAUCAUGUGCCAAGGAAUAUCCGGUUGGAUGAAAGAGGAUGUAAAGAGCAUCCUAAAGUCUUUGCAAGAUUUGCAACAGGAAAAUAAGAAACUAGAGGGACAGAUACAGACUCUGUCCAUAAACAAAGAGGAACUGGAGCUCCUGAAUGAUGUACCAUAUGACACAGUGGAGCAUCAACCAGCCGAUGCAGUCAGGAGAACCACAUGACUGCACCAAGAAAGCUGAAGCUGAAGAAAAGUCGGAGAGACCUGGAGACUUGAAGGGGCAACAGUCAGCUCAGAGAGCAGAAGAAAUUGCACUGAGCAGGGCCCUGAGACUGGCUAAAGAAAAGAGAGCGAAGAUAUACACAGAUUCAGCUCAUGCAUUUGGGGCAGCACACGUGGAGCCCACUCAAUGGAAGAGAGCAGGCUUCAGAGCGGCAACAAAUGCUCACAUUUCAAAGAAGAAAGAAAUGGGAGGACUGGAAAAGGUCCUGGAUGACCCAAACGAGGUCAGUAUCAUAAAAUGCAAAGGAUACUCUCAACCAACCACAUUGGUGGCACAAGGGAACCAGAGAGCAGAUGAGGCUGCCAAGUAAGCAGCAGGCUACAAAGGAAAGCAGCAAAUGGUGAGAGGCCGGGGUAAAAAGAGUGAGUUCGGACGAAGAAGUCCGAGAAAAGGACACCUUGAGUUGAGCAAGGUGUUUAAAUGACUCAGGAUUUCAGAGAAUUGAGUCAGCUGUGAUCUUGAGUUCUAAUGGUAAAUUGAUUUUAAAGGAAAAUCAGUGUUUACCAUGUUGAAGUAAUUGUGAAAAUAUUACUAGAUGUGCUGUGAUACAAGUGAAGAAUAAGUUGUGUACAUGGGGAUACACAAUUGUGUUGAUAUUGAUGGAUCGGCUGCAGUCCAUGUGAUAAGUUAAUACUGGGUGCAUUGAGACAAGAAA
Molecule: long non-coding RNA, 3778 nt
Organism: Oreochromis niloticus (Nile tilapia)
Lineage: Eukaryota; Metazoa; Chordata; Actinopteri; Cichliformes; Cichlidae
Exons: 2
Source: RefSeq, a predicted model, not a curated record